GGGCCCGCACAAGCGGUGGAGCAUGUGGUUUAAUUCGAAGCAACGCGAAGAACCUUACCAGGUCUUGACAUCCUCUGCCAACCCUAGAGAUAGGGCGUUCCCCUUCGGGGGACAGAGUGACAGGUGGUGCAUGGUUGUCGUCAGCUCGUGUCGUGAGAUGUUGGGUUAAGUCCCGCAACGAGCGCAACCCUUGAUCUUAGUUGCCAGCAUUCAGUUGGGCACUCUAAGGUGACUGCCGGUGACAAACCGGAGGAAGGUGGGGAUGACGUCAAAUCAUCAUGCCCCUUAUGACCUGGGCUACACACGUGCUACAAUGGACGGUACAAAGGGCAGCAAGACCGCGAGGUUUAGCCAAUCCCAUAAAACCGUUCUCAGUUCGGAUUGUAGGCUGCAACUCGCCUACAUGAAGCCGGAAUCGCUAGUAA
Molecule: ribosomal RNA, 425 nt
Filed under: uncultured bacterium
Lineage: Bacteria
Description: bacterial SSU rRNA
Rfam family: Bacterial small subunit ribosomal RNA
Source: RNAcentral